This 134-nucleotide small RNA is filed under the name Salmonella enterica subsp. enterica serovar Muenchen. RNAcentral describes it as "RtT sRNA". It matches the Rfam family "RtT RNA". From Rfam's summary of the family: This family represents a bacterial cis-regulatory element known as RtT RNA. Lineage: Bacteria; Pseudomonadati; Pseudomonadota; Gammaproteobacteria; Enterobacterales; Enterobacteriaceae. RNAcentral also lists the same sequence under 76 other names. The record is from RNAcentral.
UGUAUCUGAAGCCUGACGAGGAUGAGAACCUCCGGGGGCAAGAGGUUCGACUCGAGCGCAGCGAGAGAACGUUGCGUCAGCAACGGCCCGCAGGGCGAGCCACGCAGUGGCGAGUCAUCCUCUAUCACCGACCA